RNAcentral lists this transfer RNA (85 nucleotides) under Felis catus (domestic cat). It matches the Rfam family "tRNA". From Rfam's summary of the family: Transfer RNA (tRNA) molecules are approximately 80 nucleotides in length. Their secondary structure includes four short double-helical elements and three loops (D, anti-codon, and T loops). Further hydrogen bonds mediate the characteristic L-shaped molecular structure. tRNAs have two regions of fundamental functional importance: the anti-codon, which is responsible for specific mRNA codon recognition, and the 3' end, to which the tRNAs corresponding amino acid is attached (by aminoacyl-tRNA synthetases). tRNAs cope with the degeneracy of the genetic code in two manners: having more than one tRNA (with a specific anti-codon) for a particular amino acid; and 'wobble' base-pairing, i.e. permitting non-standard base-pairing at the 3rd anti-codon position. The record is from Rfam by way of RNAcentral. Lineage: Eukaryota; Metazoa; Chordata; Mammalia; Carnivora; Felidae.
GCCUGCGUGGCUCAGUUGGUUAAGCAUCUGACUUGGGCUCAGGUCAUGAUCUCUCGGUUUGUGGGUUCGAGCCCCACAUUGGGCU